Molecule: long non-coding RNA, 4537 nt
Filed under: Solanum tuberosum (potato)
Lineage: Eukaryota; Viridiplantae; Streptophyta; Magnoliopsida; Solanales; Solanaceae
Description: long non-coding RNA (STUB_LNC004320)
Source: RNAcentral
GUUCCCAGAAUCUUGGAGAAGGCCAAUUGAGUUUACCUGAGAAGUUGAAACAUUUGAUGACCAAAGAAUCUCCUCCUCUCCAUUCGUUAUAACGACAUUUCCAUCACGAGAUAUCUUUACAACACCAGAAGAAUCUCUUAAAGGUUUGUCCCUAUUAGCCACCCAAAUGACAGUUGUUACAGAAAAAUUGUACCAAAUACCAACAUACCUAUUAGUACUGUUUUGAGGACUGAAAAAUCCUAACUUGAAUACGCCUCCUGGAGACGAUAAAAUUCCAGGAUCUCUCAGAGAUUGAAUGCUGGUAAUGUUAUCCACUUCACUGCAUAAUCCUGUAUCGAUAAAACGAAGAAUAACAAGAAUUAUAUGAACAAAAUAUUGCAAAUUUCUUCUUCUGCUGCUGCUGUUGCUCAUCUUUUUGGUUUUCUAAGACUUUUCUUAUUACCACACUAUAUGAACAAAAGCACAAUAUGUUGUCAAAGUCUAAUAUCACAAGCAGCCAAAUAGGAUUUUUAAUUUGUUGACCCUAUAGAAAUAUCACAAACCACAUAUCAUUCUCUAUCCGAGACUUUUAGGCCAAUGCAAAAAUUGACACUUAAAAACGAAUAAUGUAAAAUGUAGAGUUUAACUUCUAUACGCUGACAAUAUAAGUCUUUUCUCCCAUCACUAUCAUUGUGUAGUAUGUUCCUGAAAUAACAUUGUGAAUUGACAAGUUUUAACUUGUUGAAAUAACACAUUUCUUUUCCUUAAAUUAUUAAAUGCUCAUUGAAAAAAGAAGAAGAAAAUAAAAUAAAAUGAGUAUUGAUGUAAAGAUAUGACAUCUAAGCUUAAUUCAACCUUAGACCAGAAAUAUAAUGAUUGAUAUAUUUAAACUAUUUCGAAAAAGUAAAAUGAGUGAAAAUCCAAAAGCCACGUUAGUGUGAGAAUUGAGUGGGGACCUUGACAAUAAGCUAGCAUCUCAACGUCAACAUGCUUGUCAACUAUAAGUGGUAAUAAUGCACAUAGUGUAAUGAAAAAUGUAUUGUUGCACAAAUUGACAUUAAACCUAAAUGCCUUUUCAUUUUAUUCCAAAUACAUCCCAUAAUAUAUUCUGUGAUUGGCAAACACAUAUUACACUUGUGGAUUAUGAUAUUUGAUUCAACACGAAUAUUUAACAUGUAAUCGAAAAAUGAAUGACAAAGAUAUCAUACAAAUUGAGACAAAUGGAUAAUUUUGCAUAUCUUAAAAAUAAUAAUUUCAUAUACUCAUGUCAUCUACCAGUUAUGUUUGUGAUACUGAUAUUGUUCAAAGUACAAUUAGUUACAUUGCACAUUUUGAAGAUACAAUCAUGUCUUUCAGUAAAAGCAGGUUGUGAUGGUGCAGGAAGACUUGUAGUUUCACUGGUAAGCAUAGCAAGAACAGAUGAAAUACUUGGUCUGUCUUCAGCAAAUUCUUGAACACAUAGUAAACCAAUCUGUAUGCAUUUUCUGAUCUCCAUUUCCGAGCUCGUGUUCAAUAUGAAUGGAUCGAUAAAAGUUGAUAAAUCUUGUUCUUUCCAUAACAUCCAUGCCUGAAAACAGUGAAAAAUUGAUCAUCAAACUUAUUGAUGCAUAAAACACAGUGACAGCAAAAGUAAUUCUACCAUCAUAAUGUAAAAAUAUAAGGUACACACAAUCGAACUAUAACAACACGUUACUAUAAUGGUGAAAUUUACUUUGGAUGUUCUCUAUAAUAGCAUUUCACUAUAGCAACCAAAAGAUAUCUGGACAAACGAGGUCGAUGUAGAAAUGUUUUGACUGUAUAGUUUUUGCAGUAUGAGCAUUUUUAGUAUUUGAAUAGUAGCAUAUAAAGGGAAUCUUACAUAUCCGAAAAGGCUAAAAGAGGAUGUCUCAUUCCAAGAACUUGUACUUUUUCGGCCACUGAUGAUCUCUAACACUAGAACUCCAAAGCUGAAAACGUCCGAUUUCUCAGAGAAUCUUCCUUUCAUUGCAUAUUCAGGGGCCAUGUAUCCACUGUAAAAAUGUCAGCACAUUCGUGUAAAAAAUGAUUAGUUAGUAAGUAUGUAUGAUAUGGUUUUUUACAGGAGAAAACUGUGUAAAGCUAUGGUAGAUAUAGAUCAAUGUCCACUUACUAAGUACCAACUACUCUCCUUGUGUCUGCUUGAUCUUGGUCAGAUCCGAAAAUCCUAGCCAUGCCAAAAUCUGAAAUCUUUGGAUUGAAGUCAUUAUCGAGCAAAAUGUUACUUGGCUUCAGAUCUCUAUGAAUUAUCUUCAAUCUUGAAUCUCUGUGAAGAUAAAGGAGUCCUCGACCAACCCCUUCGAUUAUAGUGGAACGUUUUCUCCAAUCCAAAAUGCCUCGGUGGCCUUCAUCUAGAUGUUUGUCAAAUAUGAAUGGAGAAGGGAUUAACUUUGCUUCAGAAGAAAUGUGGAGCAAUGUUGCUCAGACUCCCCAAAAUUGUUGAUGUUCUCGUGUCGGAUCCUCCAAAAGUGCAGUACUUUUGGAGGAUCUAACAAGCAUCCAUCGACAUUAUUGAAGAGUCCGAACAACAUAGAUGUGGAGUAACAAAGAACUGCUAUGAGAAGUACAAUGCUUAUUAAAAGCAAGGACUAACCAAAGAGAAACACAUCCAAGCUUUUCUUGGGCAUAUAUUCAUAAAUCAACAUCUUCUCCUCUUUAUCAACGCAACAUCCCAAAAGUCUAACAAGGUUUCUAUGUUGGACUUUCGAGAUCACCAACACUUCAUUCAUGAACUCCUCCAGCCCUUGUCCCGAGGCUUUUGAAAGCCUCUUGACUGCUAUUUCUUUCCCGUCUUCCAAUUUUCCCUACAAGUAAUCAGCAAUUUCAGCAACUGAAAUUUGAAAAGUGAUCGAGAGAGAAGAAAAUUGUACCAUGUAAACUGGACCAAAACCGCCCUGACCAAGCUUCUUAUCCUCAUGGAAUUGGGAUGUUGCAUUUGCAAGCGUAUCGAGGCUGAAGACUGGUAACUCUUCCAUAUGAACUGCACUUCUGUCACCAAGUAAAUUUAUCUUCUUCCUUUUUACUCCUAAUAUCAGCAGGGAUACAAAUUAACUACUAUAGCAAACAAAGUGCUUCUAAAUGUAUAAUACUAAAACUUUAUAGCUUGUUUUACCUCUAAGUCUGGCCAUCCAUGUACAGCAAAGGAACAGACAAACACAGAGUGUAAGAAAACCAAGGAUUACUGGAAUUACAAUUUUCUUUAUGUCUUUAUGAUGAUCUGUAAUGUAGAGCAAUCACAAAAGGUGAACAAAAAUCAGUUCUCUACAGAAGUAAGCUACUUAAUGUAUAUAUAUGGAAUUCAAUAAGUCCAUGAUAUCUCAAAUGACUGAUUAAGCUAUUCUGGGUGGAUAAUGAGUCUUCUAUUCAACACCACUAUACAUACCAAGCUCUGAAUGUGCCACGCGAAUAUAGAGAUCUUUCCCCGAGCUUUGGAACUGCUGAAUAUCAAUCAAGUUGUUACUCCAUGACAUACAGCCAGUACCUGAGUCAUAUGCAUACGCUAUGCAGGAACAAUAUCCCAAGCAUUGGCUUUUACAUUGGUCUUCUCUAGUCGAUGACCUUUCUGCAAAAUCAGGCAAUUUUAUUGACCCUAUCUUUAGAAAUCCGUCUUCUUUACUUGAAUCCCCUGAGUUAUUCCUUACUUCACAUUGCAAAGCUUUCCUCCUAACACAACCACUAGUCCAAUUCCCCUUUUCCCAUUCUUCCCUGUGCUUUGGCUCAAAACCUUUCAGACAAGAACAGAUCGGCGACUCCAAAUUGCAGCUCCCAAAUGGACCACAUGUUCCAUAAACUUCACAAUCGUUAUUGGGAGCUGACCAUAUUAUCUUCCAGUUUGUCUCAUUCACAUCCCAAUAUGAUUGAACCAAAUUCCCUUUCCAAUCCAAGACAAAUUUCGUUAAGAAAUCAAAAUCACCAGGGCCAGUAAGGUAUACAGUACCUUCGCGAUCGUUCACUACAUUGAAUCCAUCAGACGACACAGAAUACAUACCCUGCACUCCGAUAAAGAUCUGGCCAUUCCAUUGACCACUUCGCCAAUAGGGAUGACUACCUUUCCAGAUAUACACCUGAGGAAUGAAUCCAGAAUUCAUUCCUAAAGAAAAGUUUCCGAAAUUAGGAUCCCAAGGGCUUCUCCAAGAUUUUACUUCUACCCUCUCCCCUGUCCUUGUGUUUUCACUUAAUCUCAUUUUAGGGACAAUUGAAUCAGAAGGAUGUUCAAAACUCUGCCAUAUUGUGCUCCCAUUGUUCAGAUGAUCUACAAGAACAAAAUUCCCAGAAUCUUGGAGAAGGGCAAUUGAGUUUACCUGAGAGGUUGAAACAUUUGAUGACCAAAGAAUCUCCUCCUCCCCGUUCAUAACUAAGAUAUUUCCAUCACCAGAUAUUUUGACAACCCCAGAAGAAUCUCUUAAAGGUUUGUCCCUAUUAGCCACCCAAAUGACAAUCGUUUCAGAAAAAUUGUACCAAAUACCAACAUACCUGUUAGAGCUGUUUAGAGGACUGAAAAAUCCCAACUUCAAGACGCCUCCUGGAGAUGAUAAAAUCCCAG